This is a long non-coding RNA of Rana temporaria (common frog), 2205 nucleotides long. RefSeq lists it as uncharacterized. The record is from RefSeq and is a predicted model, not a curated record. The transcript is spliced from 4 exons. Lineage: Eukaryota; Metazoa; Chordata; Amphibia; Anura; Ranidae.
UUUCUGGGCAGUCACAUGGUCUGCUGACAUUACCAGUCUUUCUCCUGCAUAAGAACUAGCUGCUGCCAUUUCCUAAAAUGACUUACAAAAUGGGAUAUGCAGAACACAGGGCUAUUUUCAAGCACACUACCAUUCAACACCACAAGGAUGCCACGACCUUCACGUCCCAGAUCCCGUCAAAGGCGCUAACAUGAGGAAGGCCAAGAGACCGCAACAAGACUGCUGAUCUCCACCCAGCACCACCAUCGGCUAUGGAGCAGCACAGCAAGGAGGAGAUGAUGUGUCCUAUUUGUCUUUCAGGAUAUGAGGAUGGUGAGGACACUCCAAUUCUGACCUGCGCUCACCAGUUUCACAGCGGCUGCAUCCAGCUUGACUGUGCUCUCCCUGGUGGCCAUCAUCCCCACCGGACCGUUUUUCUGGCACCUCGAACAGGCAGAUUCCUCUCUCCUCUGGGCUUGGCCUCCUAUACUUUACACUAGACAAGGUGGUCACAGAAACAAACUGCUGCGUAUAAACUGUAUUGAGCUGUUCAUUAAGGCAGGCAUCUAUGGCAAUGAGCGGUAUUGCAGCUGUGGAUAACUCCGUAGAUCAUUAUAUAUAAAAUCUGUAAAAUAUAACGUUUAUGUGGGUACAGUGUUGCAUUAGACAUAUUGUCAAUCAAAGUAUGUAUGCCUGAAAAGUGACAGCUGGUGUGAUGUCACAAGCGGGGAUUGGCUGCAGACCAAGGCUCAAGUCACUUCUGCACUGGGAGCUGACCGAGUCGCAUCGUCAGAGCUUUUCUCCUGAUAUUCACUGCGAUUCUUAUUUUCAUUAAUAUUUAUUUCUAUUACUAUCGUUGUUUAUAUUAAUAUUAUAUCUUUUCUUUUUUUCCUAUUUUUAGGUACACCGGCAUUAAACACCAUCAGGAUGCCACGACCUUCACGUCGCAGAUCCCGCCAAAGGUGCUAGUAUGAGGAAGGCCAAAAGUCUCUAUUCGCCCAUCGGAUGAGGUCCAGAGCAAAAUGUUGGUGGAGACAGGAGGACGCAGCCAUCAACAGGAGCCGUUCGCCCAGAGACCUCAACAAGGCUGCUGAGCACCACCAUCGGCCAUGGAGCAGCAUGGCAUGGAGAGGAUAGUGUGUCCCAUUUGUCUUGCAGGAUAUGAAGAUGGAGAAGACACUGACCUGCACUCAUCAAUUUCACAGCGGCUGCAUCCAACGAUGGCUUCAAGAAAGUGCAACUUGUCCAAUUUGCGGGCUGCUAUUCCUAAGCAGCAACAGCGCCCGAGAUUCCAGAGUACACCGGCAUUAAACACCAUCAGGAUGCCACAACCUUCACGUCGCAGAUCCCACCAAAGGUGCUAGUAUGAGGAAGGCCAAAAGUCUCUAUUCGCCCAUCGGAUGAGGUCCAGAGCAAAACGUUGGCGGAGACAGGAGGACGCAGCCAUCAACAGGAGCCGUUCGCCCAGAGACCUCAACAAGGCUGCUGAGCACCACCAUCGGCCAAGGAGCACUAUGCCAAGGAGAGGAUAGUGUGUCCCAUUUGUCUUGCAGGAUAUGAAGAUGGAGAAGAUACUACAAUUCUGACCUGCACUCAAUUUCACAGCGGCUGCAUCCAACGAUGGCUUCAAGAAAGUGCAACCUGUCCAAUUUGCGGGCUGCUAUUCCUAACCAGCAACAGCGCCCGAGAUUCCAGGGUACACCGGCAUUAAACACCAUCAGGAUGCCACAACCUUCACGUCGCAGACCCUGCCAAAGGUGCUAGUAUGAGGAAGGCCAAAAGUCUCUAUUCGCCCAUCGGAUGAGGUCCAGAGCAAAACGUUGGCGGAGACAGGAGGACGCAGUCAUCAACAGGAGCCGUUCGCCCAGAGACCUCAACAAGGCUGCUGAGCACCACCAUCGGCCAUGGAGCAGCAUGCCAAGGAGAGGAUAGUGUGUCCUAUUUGUCUUGCAGAAUAUGAAGAUGGAGAAGAUACUACAAUUCUGACCUGCACUCAAUUUCACAGCGGCUGCAUACAACGAUGGCUUCAAGAAAGUGCAACUUGUCCAAUUUGCCGGGCUGCUAUUCCUAACCAGCAACAGCGCCGGAGAUUCCAGGGUCGGUUUGGAAUCGAAGAAUUUAUACUGGAUGCUUGUAGUGGUUGAUGAUUUGAGGGAGAAAAAAAACAACAACUAUGUAAAUGUAUAUUAUAACUUCUCUUUAUAUAGGAGGCUUGUAGUUAAAAAU